GUCCCCUGAAAAAGAACAAACAAAUGCAUUCUGGGGAAAGAACAAUGUCAUAGAGGGUGCUACAAGAAGCAGACCCAUUGGGCCUGCUCAUAUUUCCUUUUCAAAAACUAGUCUGGGUUAUAAAGAAGAAACAAUUAUGGGACCACUCUAUGCAGACUGACUGGGGGACAUGGACUGUGGCAUGACAGCCCAGAAGAGCAAGAAGGAUGCCUUCACCUGGGAUGCCUCUCUAGGUGUUGGCCACUUGGCAGAUACCUUGACUCCUGGGCAGCCCACCUAUUAACUCCCUGGCCCAGAAUAGAGAUAAAGAAGCCUAAUGCUUGGGCUCCAUAUGGCCCAGAAAGCUUUUUUCAGAGAAACCUAAUCUUUUAGCCCAAAAGUAUACCUUUAUCAGCCAGUGUCAGGGAAUAGAGAAAAGCUGGCUCUCCCUUGACUCACCUGGUAUAUUCUCCCCUCUCCCCUUUGCCUUCCUGUUCCUCAAGGUGCAUUUGAAACCUCAUCUCCUUUAGGGUAUCGACUCACUUAAAUCUGAUCACCACCACAGAGAGAAAGUAGACGAUGCAGCUGGGAUUAGGAUCAGGCUGUCCGGUACCAGAGCAUUUCUGCUUGACUACUACUUUGCUUCAUGACACUCCAUCUGGCGGAAGGAAGAUGUACAUAUGCAAACCAGGAAGAGAAUUCUCACCAGAACUCGACCUUGCUGGCAUCCUGAUCUCGGACUCUCCAGCCUCCAGAACUCUCCAGGAAGUCUUGGCUGACGAACUGCAGCUGCCUGGGGCUCACACAGCUCUCGUGACAUCCACAGCACAACUCGUGCCACACCACAUUGUUACUGUCC
This 838-nucleotide long non-coding RNA is filed under the name Equus caballus (horse). RNAcentral's name for it is "lncRNA (ENSECAG00000048405.1)". The record is from RNAcentral. Lineage: Eukaryota; Metazoa; Chordata; Mammalia; Perissodactyla; Equidae.